Molecule: ribosomal RNA, 318 nt
Filed under: Corinectria tsugae
Lineage: Eukaryota; Fungi; Ascomycota; Sordariomycetes; Hypocreales; Nectriaceae
Description: eukaryotic LSU rRNA
Rfam family: Eukaryotic large subunit ribosomal RNA
Source: RNAcentral
UUGACCUCGGAUCAGGUAGGAAUACCCGCUGAACUUAAGCAUAUCAAUAAGCGGAGGAAAAGAAACCAACAGGGAUUGCCCUAGUAACGGCGAGUGAAGCGGCAACAGCUCAAAUUUGAAAUCUGGCCCCCGGGUCCGAGUUGUAAUUUGUAGAGGAUGCUUUUGGUGCGGUACCUUCCGAGUUCCCUGGAACGGGACGCCAUAGAGGGUGAGAGCCCCGUCUGGUUGGACGCCAAUCCUUUGUAAAGCUCCUUCGACGAGUCGAGUAGUUUGGGAAUGCUGCUCUAAAUGGGAGGUAUAUGUCUUCUAAAGCUAAAU